RNAcentral lists this long non-coding RNA (922 nucleotides) under Malus domestica (apple). Its description in RNAcentral is "long non-coding RNA (MDOM_LNC005908)". Lineage: Eukaryota; Viridiplantae; Streptophyta; Magnoliopsida; Rosales; Rosaceae. The record is from RNAcentral.
UCUUUUCUUAAAAUGGGCGUUGAAGUUUCAACAACGAGACACUUGUGAAAACAACUAAGAUAGAAGUGUGAUGUUGUUAACUUACCCGUGGGACGUGAUCUAAAAGUCCUCGUUCGUGACAUGAUCAAAUGUGGAAAUAAAAUAGAAAUUAAAAUUGAGACUCCACAUGAGGUGAUGGAGGAGAAUUUUCAGUCUAGGCGUCUUGCCUUAGGUUAGAGCGGAAGAAUGUAAAGGAAAGAAGGUCCAAACAAACUGAAUAACCACAGUUUCUUUUUAAUGACCUUUGGAGGAUGAUGGCAUUAUGAGAAAGUUGCUUCUAGAUCUUUAUACAAGUUCAGGCAAUCAGAAACCCAACAAGAUUAUUAUCUUGGUGUAUUUAUACUACAUCGUGUUACGUGUUUCACUUCUUAUCAAAUAAUUCUAUCAUUAUUCUUCCACCGUUAAUAUUGAUCCUUUUGAGAUUGGAAAUUUCAACUAGUUUUGAUUUCUUGGUAGUAUCUAUUAGAAUAUCAUCUAUUAGAAUUCCUGCGAAAUUAUUUUUGGCAAAACUCUAGAACUAUCUUGCGCAACAAUGGUUCUAAAGUGGUAGCAAUCGACGGAAGAACAUUUUGGGGAAAUUGUUUUUGAUCCAUGGUAGUUUUAAUAAUUCGUGAUGUUACUUCUCGAUUAUCAAGAAAUCUUGUUAGUUCAUUCUUGAAUUCGACCUUUCUACUUCUUGGUCUGAGGCAAUAACGGAAUUGUUUAGUAUUCCGGCAUAAUUCAUCAUAUUUUUAUAUUAUUCUAUUUUGGAAUUAUUCGACCCUUUGAUAUUUUAGUCUGCGUUAGUUAUGGUUGUACUCUCAGUCUUACCUCAUUCUAUUAAAGGUAAUUGGGUUGACUUUGAGUCACUAGUAUAUUCCUCAUGUUAUUUAGGAGGUUGGUA